GGGACCAGCCAGCACUGCUGGAAGUGGGACCUAUUACAGCCCCACACUCCAGGCCGAGCUGUAGUGGAUCCAGCUUGAGAUGGCUGGAAAUGAGCACCGAGUACAGCUCUAUGGGCCUUGGCUUCUUGAAAGCCUGGCCCCUUUGAAAAGCUAGGAGCUUGUGGCAAUGGGCGAGAGGACAGUCCUGAUGAACAGGGCUGUCAUUGUUGCGAGACUGCUCAGCACCUGCUUCAUGCCCGGCACCAUGCACUAGGAUUUAAGUGUUCAUUGGAAGCCGUCAUCUGAGUGAGCUUCCCAAUCAGGACAUCUGGCAGGGUCCAGUGACGUCUUCGAAGGAUGGUCACACCUGGGGAGGGGACGGGCUGUUUGCACCUGGUUUGUAAAGGCAAGGAUUCUGCUCAACACUCUUAUGGUGCACGGGACAGACUCCCACAGCAAAGAACAAUCCAGCCCAGACGCCAGCCGUGCCGGGGUUGGGAAAGCCUGGUCCACUGAUGAGCAAGAGAGACAGUGUCCCUGCCCUGCCACAUUUUGCAGAGAACAGACAGGAAGGGAGGAAAGGAAGAGAAAAAGCAACAAAGUAAAUUAGGGACAAAGAAAAGGGUCCGAGUUGAUUAGUGCUCGGGAAGGAGGCGGGGGCUGCAGUGAGAGCAGUGGUGACGGGGCCUUGGCCAAGGUCGGGUCGAUGGGGCCAGCUUCCUGUGCAGGGGGCGAGGUGUCCAAGCCCAGAGAGCCAGAGGGAAAGGAGACUCGGGUCAGGCCAGCUUGCCUGGCAGCAAGGGAAAGCAGCAGGGAAGGUCUGCACACAGGGAGAGACGGAGGGGGGUUCCAAGAUCCAGAGCCUCCGGAGCUCUUUGGAGGAGGUUGGGGUACGUGACGGGGAGCCAAAGCGUGCAGCCGAGGCAGACAGCUCGGAUAUCCAGUGGCCCCCAGGUAUUUACAGGGCUUCACUUCUGGGACCCCAUAGAUACCAGUGUCUGCAAUGCCAACACCGGAGGGACGCACAGACCCCUUAUGGAAAAUGACAUAGCAGAGCAUUUGCGUAUAUGUAGCCUACUUACCUCUUCCUGUGCAUUUCAGAAGUCUACGUGAUCCCUAACACUAUGUGAAUGCUGUGCAAACAGCUGUUACGCUGUGUUGUUCAGGGAACGGUGACAAGGAGAAUGUAUCUGUGCAUGCUCAGGACGGUCACAAUGUGUUCCUCUCCAUAUUCUCCGUCCCAGAUUGGCUGCGUCCAGGGAGAGAAACGCCCUAGGUAAAAAGGGCUGACUGCUACCCAGGGAAUAUGGGAGACUUGUGACAAGGGCUCCCUCUAGGGUCUGGGUUGUAUGGCCUGGCGGAAAUGUCACCCCCUGGAGGCCCUGUUUGUCACUUGCAAAAUGGAGGUCACAGUAGGCCCUACCUCAGGAGCAUUAUGAGGACCAGUCUUGCCCAGUGUUCAGGAAAUGGAAGCUGUCGGCUUUAAGAGACUGAGGGAGGAACGCGUGCUGUUCUUCGAGGGUGGUGCCUGGCUUGUGGCUGGCUCUUUAAAGUUUCGUCUUAUUCCCUUAUUUUGAAAAGGUCAGACGUGGCCUGGAGUAUCAGAUUGAAAGAACACAAAAGGGUAUACUGAGAAGAACGUUCCUGGUGUCAGAGAGAAAGAUGAGAACCUAUCAGGUGCUCGCCUUCCUCCUGGUCUUGGUGAUCGCCUCUGUGGCCUCUGAAAACGCCAGCACGUCCACGGGGCUGCGGGCUCGACCUCCUCCCUCAGUACGUGUCCCUGUGCGACCUGGACGCCAUUUGGGGCAUCGUGGUGGAGGCGGUGGCGGGGCAGGCGCCCUGAUCACGCUGCUCUUGAUGCUCAUACUCCUGGUGCGGCUGCCCUUCAUCAAGGACAAGGGAGAAGAAGAGGCCCGUGUGCCUCCACUUCCUCUUCCUCCUGGGGACCCUGGGCCUCUUUGGGCUGACGUUCGCCUUCAUCAUCCGGAUGGAUGAGACUAUCUGCUCAAUACGCCGCUUCCUCUGGGGUGUCC
Molecule: long non-coding RNA, 2012 nt
Filed under: Heterocephalus glaber (naked mole-rat)
Lineage: Eukaryota; Metazoa; Chordata; Mammalia; Rodentia; Bathyergidae
Description: lncRNA (ENSHGLG00000038323.1)
Source: RNAcentral